AUUGAACGCUGGCGGCAUGCCUUACACAUGCAAGUCGAACGGCAGCGCGGGGCAACCUGGCGGCGAGUGGCGAACGGGUGAGUAAUAUAUCGGAACGUGCCCUGGAGAGGGGAUAACGUAGCGAAAGUUACGCUAAUACCGCAUACGAUCCAAGGAUGAAAGCAGGGGACCUUCGGGCCUUGUGCUCCUGGAGCGGCCGAUAUCUGAUUAGCUAGUUGGUGGGGUAAAAGCCUACCAAGGCGACGAUCAGUAGCUGGUCUGAGAGGACGACCAGCCACACUGGAACUGAGACACGGUCCAGACUCCUACGGGAGGCAGCAGUGGGGAAUUUUGGACAAUGGGGGGCAACCCUGAUCCAGCAAUGCCGCGUGUGUGAAGAAGGCCUC
RNAcentral lists this ribosomal RNA (386 nucleotides) under uncultured bacterium. RNAcentral describes it as "bacterial SSU rRNA". It matches the Rfam family "Bacterial small subunit ribosomal RNA", at positions 30 to 418 of the family's 1533-position model. The record is from RNAcentral.